CCUACGGGAGGCUGCAGUGGGGAAUAUUGGACAAUGGGGGGAACCCUGAUCCAGCCAUGCCGCGUGUGUGAAGAAGGCCCUCGGGUUGUAAAGCACUUUCAGUGAGGAAGAACGCCUGGUGGUUAAUACCCAUCAGGAAAGACAUCACUCACAGAAGAAGCACCGGCUAACUCCGUGCCAGCAGCCGCGGUAAUACGGAGGGUGCGAGCGUUAAUCGGAAUUACUGGGCGUAAAGCGCGCGUAGGUGGCUUGAUAAGCCGGUUGUGAAAGCCCCGGGCUCAACCUGGGAACGGCAUCCGGAACUGUCAAGCUAGAGUGCAGGAGAGGAAGGUAGAAUUCCCGGUGUAGCGGUGAAAUGCGUAGAGAUCGGGAGGAAUACCAGUGGCGAAGGCGGCCUUCUGGACUGACACUGCCACUGAGGUGCGAAAGCGUGGGUAGCACACAGGAUUAGAUACCCUUGUAGUC
Molecule: ribosomal RNA, 465 nt
Filed under: Vreelandella stevensii
Lineage: Bacteria; Pseudomonadati; Pseudomonadota; Gammaproteobacteria; Oceanospirillales; Halomonadaceae
Description: partial 16S ribosomal RNA
Rfam family: Bacterial small subunit ribosomal RNA
Source: RNAcentral